This 2219-nucleotide long non-coding RNA is filed under the name Homo sapiens (human). RNAcentral describes it as "HSALNT0172456". Lineage: Eukaryota; Metazoa; Chordata; Mammalia; Primates; Hominidae. The record is from RNAcentral.
UUUAGAAGUAGCCACUCUGAAUCGUUUUUCAAGACAAAUUAAAAAAAACACAAUAUUACCAUUUCUCAAAGCCUGGCACUUGCCUGGUAUACAGCAGGCCAAUGGUAGCAGUGAAAUAAGGGGUCAGCACCCUGGCCAUGGUGCGGAAGCCACCUCGGAUGAGAGAGGUUUGCAACAAUCUGGAGGAGAGAUGAAGAGGCAACAGCAAGAUAGCAGAGAAAAAAUGCUUCCGACGUGAGUCAGAGCAAUAACAAUUCAAUAAUAACAAUACUGGAACUGGACAUUUAUCAAGUGUUUGCCAUAUGCCAUGCUUUACACGCAUUCUCUACUGUUAUUUCCAUUUUACUCUUAAGAAAGCUGAAAUUUAAGUACUUGCCCAAGGUCACAUGGCUCCUAAGUGGUAAGUCGACUGUUCUGAGUGCAGAAGAAGACUCUGAGCAAAGGAUCUGGGUGUCAAUUCAUUUGCAAGGUGACUCCAUGAAAUAACCAGUAAAGAUGAGAAACAUGAAAUACAGAAUGGAAAGAAGAUAAACAUUGAGUUAUCCAGCUACUUACCAUGAUGAGCAAUUGGGGCUCUGUCUUGCUGGGGAACUCUCGGAGAUAGAGCAGAACACUCUUAAGAGUUACUAUUCCAUCCUAGAGGCAAGAACACUACGGUGUUCAUAUAUAGAUCCCUUAUCUGCCAUUGGUUGAUGCUGCUUCAGGGACAUUAACCCUCCACCCUUCCUGCUUGUCCUGUGCUCAGGCUGCUCAUGCUCCACAGGUGCUUGCGGUAAGCAGCUCUCAGCACCAGAGAACUAAGGUCACCAUCAGCAUCUGCUACAAUGAUCCCACAUCCAGUUUGCCUGGGACAGUCUCAGUUUAUGUCUAUUGCCUGGGAAUAAUUAUUAAUUUCCCUUUUACUCUCAGAAGUGUCCUGCUUUGGAUAAUUUAUAUGGCCACUCCUGUAAGAAAAGGAACAGAUUUUCAAAUCCUACUUCAUGUGGUUCCAGAAUCUCUGCUUUUUGCCUCUUUCUCAUCCUCUGUGAGUGCAAUUGUGGCUUUCCUCAUCAGGCGCUGGGCAGUAGCCCUGGGUGAGGUAGGAGGAUGUGGGUCCUGGACGAUAAACGGCUGCUCCCCAGAACCUAGAGCACUUCCGCAGCAGGGAGAGAAUUUCACAGCUCAUUGACUGCUCUGACUCCUAAUCUACACCGAGGAAACAAUGUUGCAGCUCAUCAAAUGCAAUCAGCUGCUAAUUGAAAGGAAAUGGAAUUUUACAAUUACAGGCCACCUUUCAGUGCUCAGGAUUUCUAAGCACUUCUCCCCACCUUCCUUUGCCAGCUCAGCACUGGCAGGAGCACUUGACAACCUGCUAGAGACUUCCCUAAAAGCUGCAUUUAGGACCUGGCCCGUUCUCCCCAGCUCCAGAGCAGCAGCAAAGGGAAGCAGCGUCCUCGCCAAUACCUGGGCUGUCCUUCAAGGCUCAGUGCAAGGAAAAACACCUGGGUUGGACAUCAGGUAGUGCUGACUUCCAGACCACUGAGGUCACCUGCAUAAGCGAGUCUGGCAACAAAUAAUCGUCUUCCAGAAAAUGACCAGAAACUCAGCCUGCUUUUUGUCAUUUCACCAGCCCCACCAUCUUUCCUUUAUUCUAGAGCUCCUGGCACACUUACAUGAAUCUCUUGAAAGAAGAGAAAUGAGAGCAUUCAUUCCAUACUAAUACAAUUGUGCCCUAUGGAAAGGCUUUUUGCUGGCAGACAUAGUAGACGGACCAUUUCCCAACUUCUUUUUCUUUGCCACCUUCCAGCCAAAGGUGUCCAUAUGACACAGCUCUGGACAGGAUAAUUGGAAGUCUGUUGUGGGAUUUCUGAGAAAGCUUUUGAUUUUCUGACAGAGACAUUUUUGCUUCCCCUUACCACUUCCUACUGGAUUACAGAUGUGAUGGAAAGAGCUGCAGCAGCCAUAAUACAACCAUAAAGGAGAGGAGAAGAGAAUUGCAAAGGCAUCAACCCACAUUGAAUUGAACUGCUAAGUUAACACUAGCAGUUACUUGCCUCCAGAUAUCUUGGUGUGUGAGAACAUUAAAUCUGUAUGUGUCUAAAUCAGUAUGGGUGAACAUUUCUGUCACUAAAGUCAAAAGCAUCCCUGAAACAGUGCAUGAUUCCAUAUGACCCUUACCACAACCCUGGUAAAUAGGUAUAAUUAUCCUUCAUUUAAACAUGACGAAAUUAAAGUUGGGA